CACGUAGGGUGCGAGCGUUGUCCGGAAUUAUUGGGCGUAAAGAGCUCGUAGGCGGUGUGUCGCGUCGGCCGUGAAAACCUGCAGCUUAACUGUGGGCUUGCGGUCGAUACGGGCAUCACUGGAGUUCGGCAGGGGAGACUGGAAUUCCGGGUGUAGCGGUGGAAUGCGUAGAGAUCCGGAAGAACACCGGUGGCGAAGGCGGUCUGCUGGGGUGAUGCUGACACUGAUGCGCGACAGCGUGGGGAGCAAACAGG
This 254-nucleotide ribosomal RNA is filed under the name uncultured bacterium. Its description in RNAcentral is "partial 16S ribosomal RNA". It matches the Rfam family "Bacterial small subunit ribosomal RNA", at positions 524 to 776 of the family's 1533-position model. The record is from RNAcentral.